Non-coding RNA from Mycena leptocephala, 95 nucleotides. The record is from the annotation of a GenBank genome assembly. NCBI's taxonomy places the organism in Eukaryota, Fungi, Basidiomycota, Agaricomycetes, Agaricales, Mycenaceae.
AGCAGUAUGGUGUAAUGCCGCACACGAGAUUUUCUUAAGCCUGGACUACUACGGAAUCUAUUCCCGAGAUCCUUGUUCGAAUCAAGGUACUGCUA